UAUCAGUAAGAUGUUGACCAU
RNAcentral lists this non-coding RNA (21 nucleotides) under Caenorhabditis elegans. Lineage: Eukaryota; Metazoa; Nematoda; Chromadorea; Rhabditida; Rhabditidae. The record is from RNAcentral.